UUAGCCUACGGGAGGCAGCAGUGGGGAAUAUUGGGCAAUGGGCGCAAGCCUGACCCAGCAACGCCGCGUGAAGGAAGAAGGCUUUCGGGCUGUAAACUUCUUUUAUGAGGGACGAAGGAAGUGACGGUACCUCAUGAAUAAGCCACGGCUAACUACGUGCCAGCAGCCGCGGUAAUACGUAGGUGGCAAGCGUUAUCCGGAUUUACUGGGUGUAAAGGGCGUGUAGGCGGGAAAGCAAGUCAGAUGUGAAAACCAUGGGCUCAACCUGUGGCCUGCAUUUAAAACUGUUUUUCUUGAGUACUGGA
RNAcentral lists this ribosomal RNA (305 nucleotides) under uncultured bacterium. RNAcentral describes it as "bacterial SSU rRNA". It matches the Rfam family "Bacterial small subunit ribosomal RNA", at positions 334 to 653 of the family's 1533-position model. The record is from RNAcentral.